CUACGUAGGUGGCAAGCGUUGUCCGGAAUUAUUGGGCGUAAAGCGCGCGCAGGCGGUCCUUUAAGUCUGAUGUGAAAGCCCACGGCUCAACCGUGGAGGGUCAUUGGAAACUGAGGGACUUGAGUACAGAAGAGGAAAGCGGAAUUCCACGUGUAGCGGUGAAAUGCGUAGAGAUGUGGAGGAACACCAGUGGCGAAGGCGGCUCUCUGGUCUGUAACUGACGCUGAGGCGCGAAAGCUGGGGGAGCGAACAGGAUUAGAUACCCUGGUAGUCCACGCCGUAAACGAUGAGUGCUAAGUGUUAGAGGGUUUCCGCCCUUUAGUGCUGCGGCAAACGCAUUAAGCACUCCGCCUGGGGAGUACGGUCGCAAGACUGAA
This 377-nucleotide ribosomal RNA is filed under the name uncultured bacterium. RNAcentral's name for it is "bacterial SSU rRNA". It matches the Rfam family "Bacterial small subunit ribosomal RNA", at positions 523 to 898 of the family's 1533-position model. The record is from RNAcentral.